RNAcentral lists this small RNA (133 nucleotides) under Arabidopsis thaliana (thale cress). RNAcentral's name for it is "ATSL218800". Lineage: Eukaryota; Viridiplantae; Streptophyta; Magnoliopsida; Brassicales; Brassicaceae. The record is from RNAcentral.
UUAAUAAAAAAUUUUCUGUCUCUUAAAAUAAAAGCUCUAUGUUCUCUAUAAAAAAGCUUUCUCCGCCGCUGCCUAAGAUUACUUGUUUCAGUGGCUUUUUUCAGCAUCGGAAGCGAGGUUUCUUUACUUUCUU